UAGGGAAUCUUCGGCAAUGGACGGAAGUCUGACCGAGCAACGCCGCGUGAGUGAAGAAGGUUUUCGGAUCGUAAAGCUCUGUUGUUAGAUAAGAACGUUGGUAGGAGUGGAAAAUCUACCAAGUGACGGUAACUAACCAGAAAGGGACGGCUAACUACGUGCCAGCAGCCGCGGUAAUACGUAGGUCCCGAGCGUUGUCCGGAUUUAUUGGGCGUAAAGCGAGCGCAGGCGGUUCUUUAAGUCUGAAGUUAAAGGCAGUGGCUUAACCAUUGUACGCUUUGGAAACUGGAGGACUUGAGUGCAGAAGGGGAGAGUGGAAUUCCAUGUGUAAGGGUGAAAUGCGUAGAUAUAUGGAGGAACACCGGUGGCGAAAGCGGAUCUCUGGUCUGUAACUGACGCUGAGGCUCGAAAGCGUGGGGAGCAAACAGG
RNAcentral lists this ribosomal RNA (429 nucleotides) under Bacillota bacterium. RNAcentral describes it as "Firmicutes bacterium partial 16S ribosomal RNA". It matches the Rfam family "Bacterial small subunit ribosomal RNA", at positions 355 to 776 of the family's 1533-position model. The record is from RNAcentral. Lineage: Bacteria; Bacillati; Bacillota.